Molecule: ribosomal RNA, 482 nt
Filed under: uncultured bacterium
Lineage: Bacteria
Description: partial 16S ribosomal RNA
Rfam family: Bacterial small subunit ribosomal RNA
Source: RNAcentral
AUUGAACGCUGGCGGCAUGCUUUACACAUGCAAGCCGAACGGUAACAGGCCGCCAGGUGCUGACGAGUGGCGAACGGGUGAGUAAUGCAUCGGAACGUGCCCAGUCGUGGGGGAUAACUACUCGAAAGGGUAGCUAAUACCGCAUACGAUCUAUGGAUGAAAGCGGGGGACCGUAAGGCCUCGCGCGAUUGGAGCGGCCGAUGUCAGAUUAGGUAGUUGGUGGGGUAAAGGCUCACCAAGCCAACGAUCUGUAGCUGGUCUGAGAGGACGACCAGCCACACUGGGACUGAGACACGGCCCAGACUCCUAAGGGAGGCAGCAGUGGGGAAUUUUGGACAAUGGGCGCAAGCCUGAUCCAGCAAUGCCGCGUGCAGGAAGAAGGCCUUCGGGUUGUAAACUGCUUUUGUACGGAACGAAACGGCUCUGGUUAAUACCCGGGGCUAAUGACGGUACCGUAAGAAUAAGCACCGGCUAACUACGUG